AGCAGUUGAUUGUUUUAAAGACAAUUGAAGAAGAUUCAAGAUUUUAUUGACCCUCAGCCAGAUUCUUCGAUUCAAUGGGGCUACUCUAUAUGGAGUGCGAGUUUUGGCACCCUUCAUAUCACAUUCCAAAGAUGAAGAUUACAACAUCAAGACGAUCAAGGGCUUGAGCAUAUCAUAGCCUCAUGGUAGCUUUGCGGGACUUUGAAGAUUCAGCCUAACAAAGUACUUGAAGAGCACUAAAA
This 242-nucleotide long non-coding RNA is filed under the name Setaria italica (foxtail millet). RNAcentral's name for it is "long non-coding RNA (SITA_LNC004926)". Lineage: Eukaryota; Viridiplantae; Streptophyta; Magnoliopsida; Poales; Poaceae. The record is from RNAcentral.